UGCAACCACCAAAACCCACCCCCCGAUUCCCUACGGCCUGCUCCUUCGUUCUCCACAGCCGAGUAAAACAUACUGUCCUUCUCCAAAAGACCACCGACGCCAUAUGCUUACCUAUUUCAGCCGAAGGAAAUCUCCAGCGAUUUAGCCACACCACCACCACGCCAUUUUCUUCCCACGGAGGUUGAACCAGAGUCCAUACGGCUGAAAGCUUCAGGGCAUUCAGUUGUUUCCCCUUCUCUAUCUCCACCGAAGAUUGAAUGGGAAAGUUGGUGCUGCACGGCUUGUGAAGUGCUUGGAGUUCUGAGUUUCCGACCACUGCAGAUUGCCAUUGUGCAGCAAUAGCAAUUAAAACAUCACGCACAUCCUGCCGCGACUGUUGUUGCUAAAUAGGUAACUAUGAUUUUGUAUUUUUGGCCUACUUUCUGGCUUGAUUUGCUGUGAGUGGCAGAAAAGUACAAGAACUUAGAUCCAUGAAAUCCUAGAUGCAUAAACCAGUGGACUUGGUAUGGACUUUUUGGUUUUAAAGACUACCAUGUAUAAAGCGAAUAAUCCAAAAUUUCAAUACUAUUUUUGUCA
Carya illinoinensis is the source of this 576-nucleotide long non-coding RNA. RefSeq lists it as uncharacterized. The record is from RefSeq and is a predicted model, not a curated record. NCBI's taxonomy places the organism in Eukaryota, Viridiplantae, Streptophyta, Magnoliopsida, Fagales, Juglandaceae. The transcript has 3 exons.